GUGGAUUAGAUACCCUGGUAGUCCACGCCCUAAACGAUGCGAACUGGAUGUUGGGCUCAACUCGGAGCUCAGUGUCGAAGCUAACGCGUUAAGUUCGCCGCCUGGGGAGUACGGUCGCAAGACUGAAACUCAAAGGAAUUGACGGGGGCCCGCACAAGCGGUGGAGUAUGUGGUUUAAUUCGAUGCAACGCGCAGAACCUUACCUGGCCUUGACAUGUCCGGAAUCCUGCAGAGAUGCGGGAGUGCCUUCGGGAAUCGGAACACAGGUGCUGCACGGCUGUCGACAGCU
This 289-nucleotide ribosomal RNA is filed under the name uncultured bacterium. Its description in RNAcentral is "partial 16S ribosomal RNA". It matches the Rfam family "Bacterial small subunit ribosomal RNA", at positions 773 to 1060 of the family's 1533-position model. The record is from RNAcentral.